This 1471-nucleotide ribosomal RNA is filed under the name Salmonella enterica subsp. enterica serovar Typhimurium. RNAcentral's name for it is "partial 23S ribosomal RNA". It matches the Rfam family "Bacterial large subunit ribosomal RNA", at positions 504 to 1874 of the family's 2925-position model. The record is from RNAcentral. Lineage: Bacteria; Pseudomonadati; Pseudomonadota; Gammaproteobacteria; Enterobacterales; Enterobacteriaceae.
UGAGGGAAAGGCGAAAAGAACCCCGGCGAGGGGAGUGAAAAAGAACCUGAAACCGUGUACGUACAAGCAGUGGGAGCACCCUUCGGGGUGUGACUGCGUACCUUUUGUAUAAUGGGUCAGCGACUUAUAUUCUGUAGCAAGGUUAACCGUAUAGGGGAGCCGUAGGGAAACCGAGUCUUAACCGGGCGUUAAGUUGCAGGGUAUAGACCCGAAACCCGGUGAUCUAGCCAUGGGCAGGUUGAAGGUUGGGUAACACUAACUGGAGGACCGAACCGACUAAUGUUGAAAAAUUAGCGGAUGACCUGUGGCUGGGGGUGAAAGGCCAAUCAAACCGGGAGAUAGCUGGUUCUCCCCGAAAGCUAUUUAGGUAGCGCCUCGUGAAUUCAUCUCCGGGGGUAGAGCACUGUUUCGGCUAGGGGGCCAUCCCGGCUUACCAACCCGAUGCAAACUGCGAAUACCGGAGAAUGUUAUCACGGGAGACACACGGCGGGUGCUAACGUCCGUCGUGAAGAGGGAAACAACCCAGACCGCCAGCUAAGGUCCCAAAGUCAUGGUUAAGUGGGAAACGAUGUGGGAAGGCCCAGACAGCCAGGAUGUUGGCUUAGAAGCAGCCAUCAUUUAAAGAAAGCGUAAUAGCUCACUGGUCGAGUCGGCCUGCGCGGAAGAUGUAACGGGGCUAAACCAUGCACCGAAGCUGCGGCAGCGAACGUAUCACCCAAGACAACUUUACGGAGUUGACGAUUGACGGAGCGAAGCGACGUCAAAGCGUUCAUUAAAGUCGAGUUGGCUUAGGGAUACGUUCGUUGGGUAGGGGAGCGUUCUGUAAGCCUGUGAAGGUGUGUCGUGAGGCAUGCUGGAGGUAUCAGAAGUGCGAAUGCUGACAUAAGUAACGAUAAAGCGGGUGAAAAGCCCGCUCGCCGGAAGACCAAGGGUUCCUGUCCAACGUUAAUCGGGGCAGGGUGAGUCGACCCCUAAGGCGAGGCCGAAAGGCGUAGUCGAUGGGAAACGGGUUAAUAUUCCCGUACUUGGUGUUACUGCGAAGGGGGGACGGAGAAGGCUAUGUUGGCCGGGCGACGGUUGUCCCGGUUUAAGCGUGUAGGUGUGUGUUCCAGGUAAAUCCGGUUCACUUUAACACUGAGGCGUGACGACGAGGCACUACGGUGCUGAAGCAACAAAUGCCCUGCUUCCAGGAAAAGCCUCUAAGCAUCAGGUAACACGAAAUCGUACCCCAAACCGACACAGGUGGUCAGGUAGAGAAUACCAAGGCGCUUGAGAGAACUCGGGUGAAGGAACUAGGCAAAAUGGUGCCGUAACUUCGGGAGAAGGCACGCUGACACGUAGGUGAAGUGAUUUACUCAUGGAGCUGAAGUCAGUCGAAGAUACCAGCUGGCUGCAACUGUUUAUUAAAAACACAGCACUGUGCAAACACGAAAGUGGACGUAUACGGUGUGACGCCUGCCCGGUGCCGGAA